GACGAACGCUGGCGGCGUGCUUAACACAUGCAAGUCGAACGGAAAGGCCCUGCUUUUGUGGGGUGCUCGAGUGGCGAACGGGUGAGUAACACGUGAGUAACCUGCCCUUGACUUUGGGAUAACCUCAGGAAACUGGGGCUAAUACCGGAUAGGAGCUCCUGCUGCAUGGUGGGGGUUGGAAAGUUUCGGCGGUUGGGGAUGGACUCGCGGCUUAUCAGCUUGUUGGUGGGGUAGUGGCUUACCAAGGCUUUGACGGGUAGCCGGCCUGAGAGGGUGACCGGCCACAUUGGGACUGAGAUACGGCCCAGACUCCUACGGGAGGCAGCAGUGGGGAAUAUUGCACAAUGGGCGGAAGCCUGAUGCAGCAACGCCGCGUGCGGGAUGACGGCCUUCGGGUUGUAAACCGCUUUCGCCUGUGACGAAGCGUGAGUGACGGUAAUGGGUGAAGAAGCACCGGCUAACUACGUG
Molecule: ribosomal RNA, 468 nt
Filed under: uncultured bacterium
Lineage: Bacteria
Description: partial 16S ribosomal RNA
Rfam family: Bacterial small subunit ribosomal RNA
Source: RNAcentral